UUGGUACAUGGAGGCAAGAGGGAAGGUGACAACACUGUCAGUGUUCCCUCACACCCCUGGCUUCUACCAUCCCUUCGACUAUGAGUUAAAAAAAAAACAAAAAACCAAACCUGUUGCCAUCAGCCGAUUCCAACUCACAGCGAUCCGAUAGGACAGAGUAGAACUGUCCCAUAGGGUUUCCAAAGUUGUGAUCUUUCUGGAAGCAGACUGCCACAUCUUUCUCCUGCGGAAUGUCUGGUGGAUUUGAACUGCUGACCCUUCAGUUUGCUGUGAACAUUUUCCUAAUAGAUGGUCUACCAGUGCUAACCUCAUUUCUCCCCACCUACUCCUUCCUUAACCUGGAAUCCAGUUUGGGAUGACUGAGUUUUGACCUAAAAGCGACCUCGCUCUACCUCUCCCCCAGUAUGUGAACCCCUUUGCAUUGUCCCUGAUAGCUGGCCACUAACCUGUACUUGGAAUUGUUCUCUCCCAAUGACAGAGCACUCACCCCUUAUGAGCCAUUCCACUGUUAGAUGGCUUUAAUGACUAGAAAAUUCCUUAUCCUUUGAGUGAAAAUCUCCAUAAUUUCUUCCUCCGGUCCCAAUUAUUCCUUCUGAAGUAACACACACACGUAUAUUUUUCUCUUGAUCAAUUUGAAGACAACUUUUGUCUCUCACUUUCAACUUUUUAGGCUGCUAAUCUUAAAGUUCUAUUGAAUCCCUUCCCCGGCUGUUACUUUCUGAUCCAGUCUGGUAGUCCCAGUUCUUUACUUUUAGACACUGUUACUACCUUCUCCUUCUCUGAACUACUUUUCUCUUCAGCCUGAUCUUGCCUUUUCCUCCUAAUCUGAAAUUCCAGGAAAAGUCUCUGAACAAAAUUUUUUCAUCUUCUGUGCUCCAGAGAAUCUUGUUCAUACCUUUGCCAGUCUACAACACUCUACAAAGUCAGGGCUGUCUUCUAAGCAUGGUUUCAGUCCCCACCUCGAUAGUAGAAUGCGUGGCCAAGCCGUCACCUCCUCUAUUGUUCUCGUUCCAGCAUUUCCUUUAGAAAGUUCACACCUUCAUAUUUCUCUAAAACCUACAGACGACUAUCAAAUAUUGAUGAGUCCAACUUCAUUCUUUUUCGUGGGGAUAUCCAGUUCUCCCAGCACCGUUUGUUAAAAAAAAAAAAUUCUUUAUUGAAUGUUUUGGAGCCCUUGUCAAAGAUCAACUGAACAUAUGAAGGGUUUAUUUCUGGACUCUCAAUUCUAUUCUGCUGGUCUGUGUGUCCCUAUGCCAGUACUGCACAGCCUUGAUUACUGUAACUUUAUGGUGUGUCGGGAGUCAGGAACUGUGAGUCCUCUAACAUUUUUCUUCUCUUCCAAGAUGGCUUGGGCUAUUCUGACUCCCUUGCAUUUCUGUAUGAAUUUUUGCAUUAGCUUAUUAAUUUCUGCCAAAAAAAAAAAAAAGCAGCUGGGAUUUUGAUAGAGGUUGUGUUGAGUCUGUAGAUCAGUUUGGGGAGCGUUGCCAUCUUGACACUAUUCACAUUUUCCAAUCCAUGAAUCUGGAAUGUCUUUCCAUUUAUUUAGGUCUUCUUGAAUUUCUCUCAGCCAUGUUUCCUAGUUUUCAUAAGCAUGCUUUGUACUUCUUUUAUUAAGUUAAAUUUAUCCCAAAGUAUUUUAUUCUUUUCGAUGCUAUUGGAAAUGGAAUUGUUUUCUUAAUUUUAUUUCAGAUUGCUCGUUGCAAAUGUAUAGGAAAACAACUGAUUUUUGUAUAUUGAUCUUCUAGACUGUGACCUUGCUGAACUUGUGUGUUCUGACGUUCUUUUGUAGAUUCCUUAGGAUUUUUAUGAUUCAAGAGCAUGUCAUCUGACAUGCUACAACAUGGAAGAACCUUGAAAACAUGGUGCUGAGUGAAGUAAGUCAGGCACCAAAGGGCAAAUGUAUGAUCUCACUUACAUGAAAUAACACAAAAAGGCAAAGGUAUAGAGACUGAAGUUGAUUAGUGGUUACCAGGGGCCGGAGGGAAGAGGAGGGGAGCCAUUGGUUAGGAGGCGAUGAGUUUCUGUUUAUGGUGCUGGGGAUCAUGGCAAUGAUUGAGCGAUGGUUGUACAACGUGAUUAAUGCAAUUGACAUCACUAACCUCUACACCUGAAAAAUGUCGAACGGGCAAAUGUCAUGUUAUCUAUAUUUUUUACAAUUAAAAAAAAAAUCCCCCCCCACCAAAAAAAUCAUGUCAUCUGGAAAUAGAGUACUUUUACUUUUUCCUUUCCAGUCUGAAUGCCUUUUAUUGCUUUUCUUGCCUUAUGUCCCUGGUUAGAGCGUCUAGUACAAUGUUGGAUAGAAGUGGGGAGAGCAGACCUCCUUGUCUUGCUCCUGAUCUUGGAGGGCGGGGCACAUUCAGUUUUUAACCAUUAAAUAUGAAGUUGUUGUUGUAUGCCAUCGAGUCAAUUUCGACUCAUAGCAAGCCUAUAGGACAGAGUAGAGCUGCCCCAUAGGGUUUCCAAGGAGCAGCUGAUGGAUUCAAACUGCCGACCCUUUGGUGAGCAGCUGAGCUCUUAACCACUUCGCCGCGAGAGCUCUUGAUUUUUUUGUAGAUGGCCUCUGGUCUUUUCAGCAUCAUGAACUGUUGUUUCUUUUUAUACUCUCUGACUUCAUGGCCUAGUGGAGGGAAUGGAAACCUCAGAAUCAGAUUUGGGUUUGAAGUCAAUGUUGGGUUAAUACAAGCAGAAAAUAUUUCUGGACACCAGUGUGUAACAGACAAUCCCUGUUCCCUAACUGCUCCUGAUAGAGUGGGAGGGACUGUCAUCUGGAUGAAUACAGCCGAGUGAUAGUGCCAUGGUGGGCAUGUGGCUGGGGCAGUGAGUGUGUACAGCAAGCGGGUCCCUAAGGAGAUCAGGGCGCCUUGAGGGUAAGAUGCCUGGACUGGUCUUGAAGGAGAGAAGGAGGCAGUCUGGGAAGAGAGCUUUGUUCUAUGAACCCCAGAUAGGUUUGUGAGGCUGCAGCCUAGGGUGCUUGCAAGCAAGGGGCCCAAGGUGAACCUAGAGGCCAAUAGGAGCCAUCCCCCCAAGAGCCUUGCCAGCUUCUGAUAGCUUUGUGAGUCCCGGAUUUGUGUGUGGAACAUGUGGCUGGUAGGGGAGAAGAUGGGUUGGAGGUGGGUGAGACCAGGACCAGGGAGACCUGGAGUUAGGGAGCUAUUGUCUAACCAGGGAAGAGCAGAGGACGUAACAUAAGGCCCUAAAGUAAGGCUGGAAGAAGGGAGAAGAGUGAGGAAGGUUAGAAGGUGGGAUUCCCCACGGCUUGUUGCAGUUGACUGUGAAAGGUGAGGGAGACGGGUGUGAAGAGAACGACACUGACGAACCUGAUGAGGGCCUCUGGUUAUCUGGUGGAGCAACCUUGAGAUUCAACUUUCUUGUUUGUAAAAUGGGAAAAAAAUACCUUCUAGAAAAUGAUACGUGCAAACCUCUUAGCACAGCCCCUGGCGUGUGGCUGGGACUCAAGUACUACUAAUUCGUUUUGCUUUCCCCCAUUUUGUUUCUGCGCCUUCCAGCCUCUAAAUGGAGGCCUCGUUUGGCUCAGAAUGCUUUGUUCCACCUUCAGAAUGAUUUUCUCGGCCCUGGUUCUCGCUGUCACCCCGUGAGGACAUCUAGAUCUCUCCACCCCUGGGCUCAUAAGCAUUUUCGACUGUGUUCUGGACAUCUGUGUGGCCUCUGAACCAUCCUCCAAAUCUCUCCCUCCUCUUGGCAGCCGUAUGCCUGCUGCCGGUGCUGUCAUCUUCUCUGUCCUUCCAGCUUAAGAUAAUUUACUCUAGUUGAAAAAACAAAUCCAUCUCUAGUGGUUUCUUGCUUCCCAGAGCCUUUCUGAUACCUCUCGCUCUCACUCCCUCUCUCACAUUCUCUCAUCUGGUGAAUAUCUGGGUUCUGUUUACUCACUGCCAUAACAUUGUACACCCUGUCUCCCUUUCUGUACCCCUUGUUUCUGCCAGUUUUCUUCCUCUGGUUUCUCUCCCUUUCAAUCCACGCUGCAGGCCACUGCCAGACUGAGCUUCCAGAGGCCCUGACUCCACCAUCUCUCCCGCUCUGUUGAGUGUCUGUGGUGGAGUCCAUAUCUCCUAGAUCACGCCCACGCUGCUCAGCCAGACAUUUGAGGCUCUCUUGUCCAAACCCAUGAAGCUUCCUAGUUUUACCUCCCCACAUUCUUGUGGAAGAAUGGGGCUGUUCUCAGCACCUUGAGUCUCACCUGUGUGUCCUCCUUGUGGAAGUUCUGCCUGCUCUUCAAGGCGUAGGUCAUGAGACCUGUCUGACCUUCAUCAGAUCGGACAGUCCUCCUUCCCCCUUCCCACAGGACUUGGUGCUUCUGUGAAACUGUGCAUGUCUUCUCUCUCCCUGGGGGUCGCCUCCUUCCUCUCUCUAACCCCCAAAAGCCUUCCUCAUAGCAGGCGUCCAAUGUAAGUAUUUGUUGAUGGAGUGUGCUGCGUUCCUGUCCUCCGGAAGCAUCCGGGCACGGCCAUUGCUUUUGCAAAUGCCCGUCCCUAAGGGUCCAGGGCACAGACAGUGAGAGGCUGGAGGAAACUGCUUUCCCAUGAAUUCUAUCGCAAUUCUAUACAGGCAGCACGAGGGUGCUCCAUAGGCACACUCUUGGUGACAUCCCUGGUGGCGGAGCCCAGCGGCGGGGUGAGUUUUUUUUUUUAUGACCAUGGAACUUCUCUGUGUGGACCCGAGUCCUGGUAGUCUGUGUGGGAGCCGGAAAUAACCCAGGUGCCACACAAUCAUGCAGAGCGGUAGGUACCUGUCUGAUUUUCCCUUGUAGAAUCUAGAAAUGAAAAUCACAUACUUCUUGGGUUCUUACUGUUGAGAUAAAUAACUUGAUGAUUCAUUUGGAGACUGCACCUGCUGUACCCACCCUGUCUCCCUGUCUUCUCUGGGCCUGCCUUCCCGAUAAGGCCAUCUGGACGAGUCCAGAAGGAGGCUGCUCUCAGCUCCCAGCUCCUGUCAGUGAUUCCUGGGAUUGAGGAGGGAAGCAGGAAGAAUAGGAAGAGGUAGCAGGUUUCUGUCUUGGGCUAAAAGCCCUCAAAUGCCCAGUUUCUGUCGGUACUGGUACCCUGGCAGCCAGACUGGUAAAGAGAGGGCCGUGAGGGUGCCAGGUGCCCACAGAGCACUGUGGCCUUGGCAGCGCUCAGGAGAGGAUGGUUGCCCUCCAUGAGUCACCCUCUGCAGUGCCGCCCAGCUGGAGGCCCUGCCUCCGAGGCUCACGUGCUGCUGGGAGGCUGUGGCCAGGGAGCAGAGGGUGGGCUGCUGAUGAAGCAGGAGCAGCCAGGAGAGGAGGCUCAUGCCAGAGGCAAACCAGAGCGGCUUCUGGAAGGGCUUCCUGCCCCCCACCCCCACUACGCCCUAGAUAGAUUUUGAAAGAAGAAGAACCCUGUUUGCUGUGGAAUGGCAUCCCCCUAAAAGAUACAUUGAAGUCCUAACCCCCGUACCUGUGAGCGUGACCUUGUUUAGAAAUCGCACCUUUGAGAUGUCAUUGGUUAGUUUAACAUGAGGUCCCACUGAAUAGGGUGGGUUGGGAUUCAUUCUGAGUAGCUGAGGUUUGAGGCAGAAGUGAUUGGUGUGGUCCAGCUGAUGGGGUGAGCUGGGUGCUGGGCUGUACUGUGCAAAGUUAUAAGAAAAAGAAAAACCUCAAUUUGGGGAAGCGAAUUAUAGGCAGUGAGGGAAGAGCUAACUAACCACUUCCUUAUUGGGCAUACUUCAUUAGGGUUUCUGUUUUCUAUCACUCCUAGCUUUAGUUGAUGAAAGUCAUCCAAAAGGUGAGUUAUGGAAGGCCAAGGUGUAAUGUCCUAGAACAAGUUAAUCACAGUAGAAUUAAAUGCAAUGUCUAUAUCCACAUGCAAAAGGAUAAGUUUGGACGCCUACCUCACACCCUAUACAGAAAUUAACUCAAAAUGGGUCACACACCUAUAAGUAAGAGCUAAAAUACACUCAGACAAUGCUCUGUUGCUGUCCAUAGGGUUUUCAUUGGAUAAUUUUUGGACGUAGAUCAUCAGGCCUUUCUUCCUAGGCUUUCUCAGUCUGGAAGCUCUGCCAGAACCUGUCCACCACGAGCGACCCUGCUGGUAUUUGAAAAGCCAGUGGCAUAGCUUCCAUCAUCACAGCGACACACAAGCCCCCACAGUACAACACACUGACAGACAGUGGCUUAGGUGCCUACAAAUGUGUCUGUGGUGUUUGCGUGGAGAGCCGCAGCUGUGGACGCCAGGUGCUUCUUUCUGGAAAGGAUGUGGAUGAAGAAGAUGACCACCUGACGGGGAGGCCAGGGCACUUGGCAGGAUAAGCAGACAGGUGAGGCCACUCUCAGUGCAAAUCUCUACAGCCAAAUCUUCAACAUCUAGCUGGCAGGCCACACUGGACACACGGGACCACACUGGACCGUAAUGGAUCCCUCGCCAGCCCACUUUAUCAGGCUGAGACCAGUCUCUCCUGGAACCCACUUUCCGCUCCUCAUCCUUGAUCCGUGGCUCCAAACCAGGACUCUUCAGAGGUCUACUAACCCUUUCCAGCAGAAAGUUCUUGGGGGGAUGAUUUUAACUGGCCUCCUCUUCAGAUUGGACUGACACAACGGCUGCAACAGUGGGCUCAGACGUACCUACUAUUGUGAGGGUGGUGCAGGACCGGGCAACAUUCCGGUCUGUUCUAUGUGUGGUAACAGCAACGUUCCCUUAAGAUACGCUUCAGAAAAAGCACAUUUGCUAUUCUUGGACUCAGACACGCAUACUGCUUUUAGAGCUUAUCUUUUGAACUGGCUGCUGAAGUUAUUUUCGACUCCACAGUUAAGCUGACCCAGAUAUAAUUCCUUCUUAGACGCUUCCCUCUGAAAUGUUAUUCCUCUGACUCUUUACCUCAAGGUGAUGCUGUUGUGUUCUUUGCUCUGUAAUCUUACUCUGCCUUUGACCAAAACAACAAAAUCUAAUCCUGCUGUUAAAUGAAACUUAAAAUAUAUACAAUACCACUCUGGUAAAGUAAUCGCAACGUGUGAGACCCUUGGAGUUUUUAUAAUUGAACUGAAAGAGACCUACACUCUGCCACCUGACAUCAGUCAGCACUGUGCGGAGUCCACAGAAGCUAUCCCUUAGAUGGAAGUCCUUGGUGGUGCAAACGGCAAACGUGCUUGGCUGUAACCAAAAGGUUGGUGGUUCGAGUCCACCCAGAGGCACCUCAGAAGAAAGGCCUGGCGCUCUACUUCCGAAAAAAACCAGCCACUGAGAACCCUAUGGAGCGCAGUUACACUCUGACACACGUGGGGGCGCCAUGAGUCGGAGUUGACUCCGUGGCAACCGCCGUCCCUUUAAAAUGAUCUCCUGAGCAAGCCCCUCCUUUCCUUCCUUCUUUUGGAACAGUGUCUGAGAGCCCGAAGGCAAAGCUGCCCUUUGUGGCUCUUGCUGCCACCUGAGUCUGCCACCUCUGUGCCGUGUUCUCAGCCCAGAAGGAAGCGAGCCCGCACCUCGCUGUGCGUUAGAACCUAAGUUCCUGUGAGCAGCUGGGAACUCACGUGUUCACCUCAUCGCUGCCCUCUUUUCUCGUCUCUGCUCUGACCUCCUGGCUGCUUUCUGUUGUCUAUUGGAAGUGUUGGUUUCUGUGUGUCUUUUCCAAAGGAGCCCCUCCGUGGAUCCAUACCCUAAUCUCUUCGCCUUGUUUUUGCGUUCUGGUUCUGGAUGUCUGGAUUGGAGCCAGAUUUCUGACGAGCUCCCAGCUGCUGGCCUGUGGGCAGCACUUUGGGGGGCGAGGGGGCUACCCUGUAGCUGUCCUUGUUUAGAUAGCCAAGACCAGAGAAGGAGAUUCCCAGGAAGAGGAUGGAUCUGAAGCCACCCUUUCAUCUACAGUGAAACCAGUAUAAUUAUUAAGAACACGGUGUACCAACCCAGCAUGUCUCUCUGUAAGGACUACAAGCUGGCCCUUUUACUGAGGCGUCUGUAAUGAAAACUUCUGGCUCCAGGCGUUGCUAGGGCGCCAGCCGCCGAGGGGAAGACAACCUAAUAUCACCCUGUGUGAAAUAAUGGUCUUGACCUUAGCAGGCAGGAGCGUACUCUGCCACUCCUGUUCUUGGGCGACAGGCUGACGCCCCGUCUCCCGAGUCACCCCCGAGCGAGUUUAUCCACCCAAGGCUGUGAGCGUGUCUCUGGGUGGGAAUGCUGCUUGGCUGAACUGUUUAAAUAUACUGGCGUGCUCGCAUCUAUUUAGUGAUGAGAAUCAGCACUACAAACAGCUCAAUGCUGUGACAAUAGACCCAGCACUAAGAAAACAAGGCAGCGGGGUGCCAUGGGACCCAGGCCAGGCCACAGUAGAACUGAGAGACUCAAUGCACCAGAGCUCACUGCAGCACUGUUCACAACCACGAAAAGGUGGAAACAACCCAGGUGUCCGCCAACGGAUGAAUGGACAAACACAAUGUGGUCUACCCAUACUGUGGAAUACUACACAGCCAUAAAGAGAAAGGAAGUCCUGAUGCAUGCUGUGACGUGGCUGAACCUUGACAACAUCAAGCUGAAUGAAACAAGCCAGACACAAAAGGACAAAUACUGUGUGUCAUGGGUUGAAUUGUGUCCCCCAAAAUAUCUGUCAGCUUAGCUGGGCCAUGAGUCCCAGUAUUGUAUGAUCGUCCACCAUUUUAUGUGAUUUUCCUGUGUGGUGUAAAUCCUAUCACUAUGAUGUAAUGAGAUGGGUUAGUGGCAGUUAUAUUGAUGAGGUCUACAAGAUUAGAUGAGUGUCUUAAACCAAUCUCUUUUGAGAUGUAAAAGAGAAAGGUGAGCAGAGAGACAGGGGGACCUCAUACCACCAAGAAAGCAGCCCCAGGAGCAGAGCGUGUCCUUUGGACCUGAGGUUCCUGUGCUGAGGUGCUCCCAGAUCAAGGGAGGACUGAUGACAAGGACCUUCCUCCAGAGCUGGCAGAGAGAGAAAGCCUUCCCCUGGAGCCGGCGCCCUGAAUCCGGACUUGUGGCCUACUGGACCGUGAGAGAAUAAACUUCUCUUUGUUAAAGCCAUCCACUUGUGGUAUUUCUGUUGUAGCAGCACUAGAUGACUAAGACAUUGUGUGAUCCCACUUGUAUGAAAUGUCUAGAAUAGGCAAAUGCACAGAGACAAGGUUUUUCGUGGUUCUUGGGGAUGGGGGGUGGAAUGGGAGUUAUCGCUUAAGGGGUACAAAGUCUGUAAAAUAUAUAUAACACAAAUGCAUUGAAAGAGAAAGUAGAUCAGUGUUUACCUGGGGUGGGGGGGGCAGUUUCUAUUUGAGGUAGUGGGAAAGUUCUGGAAACGGAUGUGGUGAUGGCUGUACAAAACAGUGAGCAUAAUUUAUGCCACUGGCACACACACCUAAAAAUGAUUGAAAUGGCAAAUUUUUUUUUAGUUAUCUAUAUUUCACCACAAUAAAAUUUUAAAAACAAAGCAAAAUGGGGACUUGACCCAGGGGCCCAGCUAUUUUAAAUGGCGUGCCCCCUGGUGCCUGCAGACCAGAGUCUCCGUUCCGAUGGGUCAGGAACCGUCAGGAAGCCGACGGGGGCAGCCAGUAGACUCAGCAGCAGCCGCACACGCAGCAGCGAUCUAGCCCUCCUGUGACGCAGGUCACCACAUCACUGCUGAACAUAGUGCUGGAAGGUCCUCGGGGCCGUCUGACACGAUGACGGGGCAGAUUAUCCAACAGACAAGGUAAGCUCUGUGCUUACCAGAUCAACGCAGUGAACAAUUUCACGUUUUUUCACCACAUCAAAGAUCCUGCUUCUAGGUAUGGCUGUCUCUCUCCUAACCCCACAGCACCUUCCUACAGAAUCAAAGCCUCUUUUCAAAUUUACAGUCCCUGACAGGGUCAAAUGACCAAGUAAGCAAGGAAAAGGAAGAAGCAAGGGAAUAGGAGGAGCACUCAGAGGCCUGAUUACUAGCGCUUUUCUGCAGUAAAUUAUAAACAGAAGAUAUAUACCAGAGGAGACAGCUGGAAGAGUUGCGGAUGGCUGCUUCUGGGGAGCAGGACCCUGUGGGGAGAAGGCAUGGACCUAUGAAUGGAAGACAACCCAAUGGAAUAAAUCCAAGGGCCCAGAAUAGACUGGUAAUCCGACUACACUAGGCUCAAAUCUGUUUCGGAAGAAGUACAACCAGAAUGGUCCAGAAAGCAAGGAUGGCGAGACUACGUCUCACAUACAUGUUAUCAGGAGGGUUUAGUCCCUGGAGAAGGACAUCAUGCUUGGUACAGGGUGAGGGAAAAAGAGGAAGACCCUCAACGAGCUGGGCUGACACAGUGGCUGCAACAAUGGACUCAGCAUAACAACGAUUGUGAGGAUGGCGCAGGACCAGGCAGUGUUUCGUUUAUACAUGGGGUCACUAUGAGUCAUAACCGACUCAACGGCAUCUAACGACAACAGCAGGCUCAAAUACGAGUCACUUGUGCUGAGCCCCAGUCAGCAACCGAGCGCUAGCUAAGUUUCUGUAUUUUUGUAAACACCUGAUCUUCCCAGAGCCGAAACCCAAGUCAAUCAAUUGACUCUCCUGGACAAGGAAACCUAAGCUAACCAGCUAGAACUUGCCUUCUUGGUUUACGGUAACCUAGUUCAAAAUCGUCCCCUUAUCCCAAAUAAGGAGAGAAAAUACCCAACAGCCAAUCUGAAAUUUGCCCAGUAUAAGCUUCCUUGUUACAAAGCCCUUUUCUUUUGUAGACUUUUGUAUGACUUCCAGGCCCGGUGUUCCCCAGUUUAUGAAUUGAGAAAUAAACCAUAUGACU
This is a long non-coding RNA of Loxodonta africana (African savanna elephant), 10711 nucleotides long. RefSeq lists it as uncharacterized. The record is from RefSeq and is a predicted model, not a curated record. NCBI's taxonomy places the organism in Eukaryota, Metazoa, Chordata, Mammalia, Proboscidea, Elephantidae. The transcript is spliced from 3 exons.